RNAcentral lists this ribosomal RNA (254 nucleotides) under uncultured bacterium. RNAcentral describes it as "partial 16S ribosomal RNA". It matches the Rfam family "Bacterial small subunit ribosomal RNA", at positions 524 to 776 of the family's 1533-position model. The record is from RNAcentral.
UACGUAGGAGGCGAGCGUUGUCCGGAGUUACUGGGCGUAAAGGGUGCGCAGGCGGCGGUUCGCGUGGCGAGAUGAAAUCUCCUGGCUUACCUGGGAGGAUGGUCGCCAGACGGGAUCGCUUGAGGGUCGGAGAGGGGCGUGGAAUUCCGGGUGGAGCGGUGAAAUGCGUAGAUAUCAGGAGGAACACCUGUGGUGUAGACAGCUUACUGGACCACGACUGACGCUGAGACACGAAAGCGUGGGUAGCAAACAGG